CAGAGGGUGCGAGCGUUAAUCGGAAUUACUGGGCGUAAAGCGUGCGUAGACGGUUAUUUAAGUCGGGUGUGAAAGCCCCGGGCUCAACCUGGGAAUUGCAUUCGAGACUGAAUAGCUAGGGUACGGUAGAGGGAAGCGGAAUUUCCGGUGUAGCGGUGAAAUGCGUAGAUAUCGGAAGGAACAUCAGUGGCGAAAGCGGCUUCCUGGACCAGUACCGACGUUCAGGCACGAAAGCGUGGGGAGCAAACAGGAUUAGAUACCCUGGUAGUCCACGCCAUAAACGAUGAGGACUAGACGUUGGAGGGGUAAGCCUUUCAGUGUCGUAGCUAACGCGCUAAGUCCUCCGCCGUGGGGAGUACGGCCGCAAGGUUG
This 372-nucleotide ribosomal RNA is filed under the name uncultured organism. Its description in RNAcentral is "bacterial SSU rRNA". It matches the Rfam family "Bacterial small subunit ribosomal RNA", at positions 526 to 896 of the family's 1533-position model. The record is from RNAcentral.